AGACCGAUGGUGUAGUGGUGUAGCACGUUGCGUUCGAAUGUGAAGGGGAGUGGUUCGAUUCCUUUCCGGUCCA
This is a non-coding RNA of Gongylonema pulchrum, 73 nucleotides long. Lineage: Eukaryota; Metazoa; Nematoda; Chromadorea; Rhabditida; Gongylonematidae. The record is from Rfam.